GACCUCUUAGCUCAGUGGUAGAGCGUGUGAUUCCAGCUGAAUUUCAAAUUACAAUUUGAAAUUUAGGACUCCACAAGGUCGUCCGUUCAAUCCGGGCAGAGGUCA
RNAcentral lists this transfer RNA (105 nucleotides) under Rhizoctonia solani 123E. It matches the Rfam family "tRNA". From Rfam's summary of the family: Transfer RNA (tRNA) molecules are approximately 80 nucleotides in length. Their secondary structure includes four short double-helical elements and three loops (D, anti-codon, and T loops). Lineage: Eukaryota; Fungi; Basidiomycota; Agaricomycetes; Cantharellales; Ceratobasidiaceae. The record is from Rfam by way of RNAcentral.